Molecule: unclassified non-coding RNA, 288 nt
Filed under: plant metagenome
Description: partial contains small subunit ribosomal RNA, internal transcribed spacer 1, and 5.8S ribosomal RNA
Rfam family: Eukaryotic small subunit ribosomal RNA (bases 1-53)
Source: RNAcentral
GGAAGUAAAAGCGUAACAAGGUUUCCGUAGGUGAACCUGCGGAAGGAUCAUUAUCGUACAAAAUGUGAGUGGCAUGCGAGGGCUGUCGCUGACCCAAAAGUCGUGCACGCCCGAGUGUGUCCUCUUGCAUAAUAAUCCAUCUCACCCUUUGUGCAUCACCGCGUGGGCACCCUUCGGGAUCAUCUCGGAGGGGGGCUCGCGUUUUCACACAAACCCCCCUUUUAAAAGUGUAGAAUGACCACAUUUAUGCAAUCAAUACAACUUUCAACAACGGAUCUCUUGGCUCUC